Molecule: ribosomal RNA, 498 nt
Filed under: uncultured bacterium
Lineage: Bacteria
Description: partial 16S ribosomal RNA
Rfam family: Bacterial small subunit ribosomal RNA
Source: RNAcentral
ACUCAAAUGAAUAGACGGGGGCCCGCACAAGCGGUGGAGCAUGUGGUUUAAUUCGACGCAACGCGAAGAACCUUACCUGGGCUAGACAACGGUGGACCGCUCCAGAGAUGGAGUUUUCCCUUCGGGGACUGCCGGUUCAGGUGCUGCAUGGCUGUCGUCAGCUCGUGUCGUGAGAUGUUGGGUUAAGUCCCGCAACGAGCGCAACCCUUGCCUCUAGUUGCCAGCAUUCGGUUGGGCACUCUAGAGGGACUGCCGGCGUUAAGCCGGAGGAAGGUGGGGAUGACGUCAAGUCCUCAUGGCCCUUAUGUCCAGGGCUACACACGUGCUACAAUGGCUGGUACAAAGGGCUGCCUAACCGCAAGGUGAAGCCAAUCCCAUAAAGCCGGCCUCAGUUCGGAUUGGAGUCUGCAACUCGACUCCAUGAAGGUGGAAUCGCUAGUAAUCGCGGAUCAGCACGCCGCGGUGAAUACGUUCCCGGGCCUUGUACACACCGCCCGU